RNAcentral lists this ribosomal RNA (726 nucleotides) under uncultured bacterium. RNAcentral's name for it is "bacterial SSU rRNA". It matches the Rfam family "Bacterial small subunit ribosomal RNA", at positions 1 to 766 of the family's 1533-position model. The record is from RNAcentral.
GUCCGAACGGAGUUAAUUGGUAGCACAGAGGAUGCAGGGGGAGCUGUAUAUUCUGUGCUAUCAGUUAACUUAGUGGCGGACGGGUGAGUAACACGUAGGUAACCUGCCUUAAAGUGGGGGACAACUCUUCGAAAGGAGAGCUAAUACCGCAUAAGCUCACGGACUGGGAUGUCUGUGAGAAAAGGAGCAAUUCGCUUUAAGAGGGGCCUGCGGCCUAUCAGGUAGUUGGUGAGGUAACGGCUCACCAAGCCAAAGACGGGUAGCCGGACUGAGAGGUUGAACGGCCACACUGGAACUGAGACACGGUCCAGACUCCUACGGGAGGCAGCAGUGGGGAAUUUUGCGCAAUGGGGGAAACCCUGACGCAGCGACGCCGCGUGAAGGAUGAAGGUCUUCGGAUUGUAAACUUCUUUUGUUGGGGAAGAUAAUGACGGUACCCGAUGAAUAAGCCACGGCUAACUCUGUGCCAGCAGCCGCGGUAAGACAGAGGUGGCAAGCGUUGUUCGGAAUUACUGGGCUUAAAGGGCGCGUAGGCGGUGGAGUAAGUCUGAGGUGGAAGGUCAGGGCUUAACCCUGAAAUUGCCUUGGAAACUGCACCACUUGAGUCAGCAAGGGGAUGGCGGAAUUCCCAGUGUAGCGGUGAAAUGCGUAGAUAUUGGGAGGAAGGCCGGUGGCGAAGGCGGCCAUCUGGUGCUGAACUGACGCUGAGGCCGCGAAAGCGUGGGG